RNAcentral lists this RNase P RNA (340 nucleotides) under bacterium. Its description in RNAcentral is "RNase P RNA component class A". It matches the Rfam family "Bacterial RNase P class A". Rfam says of the family: Ribonuclease P (RNase P) is a ubiquitous endoribonuclease, found in archaea, bacteria and eukarya as well as chloroplasts and mitochondria. Its best characterised activity is the generation of mature 5'-ends of tRNAs by cleaving the 5'-leader elements of precursor-tRNAs. Cellular RNase Ps are ribonucleoproteins. The record is from RNAcentral.
AGAGUAGGACAGAUGGUCGCAGCUGCAGAGAUGUAGGUGAGGAAAGUCCGGGCUUCACAGGGCAGGAUGCCGGAUAACGUCCGGUGGAGGUGACUCCAAGGAAAGUGCAACAGAAAUAUACCGCAGUACUCGUACUGUAAGGGUGGAAAGGCAGUGUAAGAGACUCCCGCCCGUCUGGUAACAGACGGGGCACAUGUAAACCCCAUUCGAAGCAAGACCAAACAGAAGGCAUAAGGCGGCCCGUCUGCUUUCGGGUAGGUUGCUUGAGCCUGUCGGCGACGACAGGACUAGACAGAUGACCAUCCAACGACAUAACCCGGCUUAUCGUCCUGCUCUGUUU